RNAcentral lists this ribosomal RNA (601 nucleotides) under uncultured bacterium. RNAcentral's name for it is "bacterial SSU rRNA". It matches the Rfam family "Bacterial small subunit ribosomal RNA", at positions 338 to 949 of the family's 1533-position model. The record is from RNAcentral.
CCUACGGGAGGCAGCAGUGGGGAAUAUUGCGCAAUGGGCGAAAGCCUGACGCAGCGACGCCGCGUGAGGGAUGAAGGCCUUCGGGUUGUAAACCUCUUUCAGCAGGGACGAAGCGCAAGUGACGGUACCUGCAGAAGAAGCACCGGCCAACUACGUGCCAGCAGCCGCGGUAAUACGUAGGGUGCAAGCGUUGUCCGGAAUUAUUGGGCGUAAAGAGCUCGUAGGCGGCCUGUCGCGUCGGCUGUGAAAACUCAGGGCUCAACCCCGAGCCUGCAGUCGAUACGGGCAGGCUAGAGUCCGGCAGGGGAGACUGGAAUUCCUGGUGUAGCGGUGAAAUGCGCAGAUAUCAGGAGGAACACCGGUGGCGAAGGCGGGUCUCUGGGCCGGAACUGACGCUGAGGAGCGAAAGCGUGGGGAGCGAACAGGAUUAGAUACCCUGGUAGUCCACGCCGUAAACGUUGGGCGCUAGGUGUGGGGAACCUUCCACGUUCUCCGUGCCGCAGCUAACGCAUUAAGCGCCCCGCCUGGGGAGUACGGCCGCAAGGCUAAAACUCAAAGAGAGUGCGUGNGAGAGCGACCGACGACGACGACGGAGGAGGAG